Kogia breviceps (pygmy sperm whale) is the source of this 2056-nucleotide non-coding RNA. The record is from RefSeq and is a predicted model, not a curated record. Lineage: Eukaryota; Metazoa; Chordata; Mammalia; Artiodactyla; Physeteridae.
CCGUAAACAGUGAACAUGGCGGCGGCGGCGGCACCCGGGGCCUUGGGCACGUUGCAGGCCGGCCGCGCUCGCUUGGUGGCCGCUUGCUGUGCGCGGCUCGGCCCUGGGUGGAGGCUGUCCGGCUCCUGGACGGUCCCGCGGGUCGACCCGGCGACCCGGGCUCGGGGCUGGAUACCCGCGGCCGGGGGGGCGGCCUGGCGGAGGGGCUACAGCUCUGAGUUGAAGACGGAGGACGAGCUGCGGGUGCGGUAUCUGGAGGAGGAGAACCGAGGAAUUGUGGUGCUUGGAAUAAACAGAGCUUAUGCCAAAAAUUCAUUGAGUACAAAUCUUAUAAAAAUGCUUUCAAAAGCUGUGGAUGCCUUAAAAUCUGAUAAGAAAGUACGGACCAUAAUAGUCAGAAGUGAAGUCCCAGGGAUAUUCUGUGCUGGUGCUGACCUUAAGGAAAGAGUCAAAAUGAAUUCCAGUGAAGUUGGUCCUUUUGUCUCCAAAAUAAGAGCAGUGAUUAAUGAAAUCGCUAAUCUUCCAGUGCCAACCAUUGCAGCAAUUGAUGGACUCGCUUUAGGUGGUGGACUUGAACUGGCUUUAGCAUGUGAUAUAAGAGUAGCAGCUUCUUCUGCAAAAAUGGGCCUGGUUGAAACAAAGUUGGCAAUUAUUCCUGGUGGAGGGGGCACGCAGCGACUGCCACGUGCCAUUGGGAUGUCCCUGGCCAAAGAGCUCAUCUUCUCUGCACGUGUGCUCGAUGGCCAGGCAGCCAAAGCAGUGGGCUUGAUCAGCCAUGUUCUGGAACAGAACCAGGAGGGGGACGCUGCCUAUAGAAAGGCCUUGGACCUAGCAAGAGAGUUUUUACCUCAGGGACCUGUUGCAAUGAGAGUGGCAAAAUUAGCAAUUAAUCAAGGGAUGGAGGUCGAUUUAGUAACAGGAUUAGCCAUAGAAGAAGCUUGUUAUGCUCAGACUAUUCCCACGAAAGACAGACUUGAAGGUCUUCUUGCUUUUAAAGAGAAAAGGACCCCUCGUUAUAAAGGAGAGUAGAAGAAAGAAAUCUUUAAAAUGCCAGUGUAAUAAAUAUACUUCUGGAAGUAUCUUUCAGAUUCACGUAUGCCUCAGCAUCUGGAAUCCCAGCGACCAAAGUGAAGAGCGAGUUAUCCAUAUACUGAAUUAAGGUAAUUUGCAAAUAAAGUGCUGGUCCUUGUUUUCAUCAUCCUUCAGACGUUUCAGGACCCCUUGGCUCUGUCCGUGACAUGUGCAAAUGCCACUUCCAUUCUAACUGAGUAAGAAAUAAUUAUGUUCAUGGGGAAAAAUAUUGAGUGUGCUGAGUGACUUGCCUCUCCUAACUUGGAUUUGUAGUCUGCUGCUGAUUGAACGCCAUUUAAUUUCCUAACACGUUCUGAUUAAGUCCCUGGAGUGAUUAAGUCAAUGGAGUGUAUCUGAAAGCAAAGACCUCAUCCUGUAGUCACUUCAACGUGUCUGCCCAGCUGUCUGUAUAGAUGUUUGCCUUUCCCUUGGUUUUCUCUUCAGCAGGGCAGCCUUGCUGGGGGGUGGUCCUAAUACUCCCCGUGGGUUGAAGCCCAGUGGCUGGGUGCUGCGGUGGGGGCGGCGCUCGUCCCAGAGGGAGUGCCUGCACCAGCACGUGGGCCAGCAGCUCCUUUUGUUUUCCUCCAGGGCUUGUAGUGUUUUCGAGUCCUUACUCUGAAACCACAUGAUGCAAGCUGGUAACACGGUGGAUGUAUCCAUAUGUUCAGAUGAGUUAAAGGUGACCAAGAGGGAGGAUGAUUAACCAGGCACACUUACAGUUCAGGGGAAAAACAUUUCAUGUUAUCUCAGAGCAGGAGACCUGCUCAUCUUGAGGUAAUGUAGUGCUGGUUAAUUUAUAACUUAUCUCUGAAAGAAAAAGAGGUCUCCAAGUGACACAGAUUCUGAGUCAAGAGAGGACUUGUAAUCAUGGCCAAAAGAAGACUCAUUUCCUGUGAUUCAUUUUCCGUGAUUUAAAGGGUCAUUUCAAGUUUGUGUUGUUUUCAAUAAAAAAUAGACAUGGUUUUCCUGUGUUUUUUUCCCCCUC